CGCAGGAAAAAAAAUAGCCAGCAAAUCACCUUCUAAAAUGGCAACGAUGGCGAUCUCCGGCGAGGUUACCGGAACGGUCGAGCGCCCCGAGCCAGGGUACGGUCAGCUACUCGCUCAUUGGACAAUCAAUGAUCAGGCAACGCCCAAAAGAGAAGCGAUCACAGAUGACGAAAGCAUGUGACGUCAGCUACAAAAAACUAUAAAAGGUUCGAUGUCCGAACCUUGAUUUUCAUGCAGUCUCAGCAAAGACCAACCAGAGUUCAUCAGUCAAGGAGAACUUAUAUCCUAACCACUGCCUAUACAAGUGGUUAGGCGUUCGAGUUUCUUAUCGUGAUUGUAUAUUGCAUCAGUAUCGCCCUUGCGUUAAUAACCGUGGUAAUAAAUAAUCAACAA
This is a non-coding RNA of Ciona intestinalis (vase tunicate), 393 nucleotides long. The record is from RefSeq and is a predicted model, not a curated record. Lineage: Eukaryota; Metazoa; Chordata; Ascidiacea; Phlebobranchia; Cionidae.